This 486-nucleotide ribosomal RNA is filed under the name Phylloscopus collybita tristis. RNAcentral's name for it is "partial 16S ribosomal RNA". It matches the Rfam family "Bacterial large subunit ribosomal RNA", at positions 1923 to 2568 of the family's 2925-position model. The record is from RNAcentral. Lineage: Eukaryota; Metazoa; Chordata; Aves; Passeriformes; Phylloscopidae.
UUUAACGGCCGCGGUAUCCUAACCGUGCAAAGGUAGCGCAAUCAAUUGUCCCGUAAAUCGGGACUUGUAUGAAUGGCUAAACGAGGUCUUAACUGUCUCUUACAGGCAAUCGGUGAAAUUGAUCUCCCUGUGCGAAAGCAGGGAUGCACACAUAAGACGAGAAGACCCUGUGGAACUUUAAAAACAGCGACCACCCCAAAAUACAUCUACCCCCACCCCGGGCUCACUUAUCCUACGGGCUACUGGUUCGCAUUUUUUCGGUUGGGGCGACCUUGGAGCAAAACAGAACCUCCAAAAAUUAGACCAAACCUCUAGACUGAGAGCAACACCUCUACGUGCUAAUAGCACCCAGACCCAAUAUAAUUGAUCAAUGGACCAAGCUACCCCAGGGAUAACAGCGCAAUCUCCUCCGAGAGUCCAUAUCGACGAGGAGGUUUACGACCUCGAUGUUGGAUCAGGACAUCCUAGUGGUGCAGCCGCUACUAA